GUUGAUUGGUCAAGGAUUUACAGCUUACAUGUGCAGAGCCUAAGUUCAAUACAAAAAGGAAAUAGUUAUAGAUGAGACAAUUGUUGACAUGGUUGUUUUCAUAAUAUAUUACAACAACUACACAAAAAGCGCACCAAUUUGCCACCAUUACCCAACACACACAAUUAAGAACUACAAUACAAAGUAUAGCUAAGAAAGUAAAGACAACAAACACCACUCCAUAUCACAUUGCCACGAAGUGGUAGCCAACACCACCUAAUCGAUAGCCUGAGCUUCAAAUGUCUGGCGACAGUACAUCCUUGCAAAAGAUUCUGAGGGCAAUGGUUAUAGAGCAAAACAUCAUUGACAUGUUGUUUUGCAAAAGGUUUAGUGGCCAAGGCCAACAAAACGCCCUCCCCUUAGUGAUUCACCUUUAAGGAAACAAAGCACAAGUUACUUUUUUGUGUUUAUGAUGGGCAUUGAUCAGGAAAUAAAAAAAUCUGACUUUUUUUGUCGUGACGUACUCUGACUUGAAAAGGCUCUUUCGAGCCCAGAUGAGGGUUUUGGAACGAGCACGUUUGGCACGGGCUUGAAUCUGGAAAAUGGACUCGUCAUCUGAAUUUGGAGGAGGAUCCUCAUU
This 619-nucleotide long non-coding RNA is filed under the name Linum usitatissimum (flax). RNAcentral's name for it is "long non-coding RNA (LUSI_LNC008101)". Lineage: Eukaryota; Viridiplantae; Streptophyta; Magnoliopsida; Malpighiales; Linaceae. The record is from RNAcentral.